GACGAACGCUGGCGGCGUGCCUAAUACAUGCAAGUAGAACGCUGAAGGAGGAGCUUGCUUCUCUGGAUGAGUUGCGAACGGGUGAGUAACGCGUAGGUAACCUGCCUGGUAGCGGGGGAUAACUAUUGGAAACGAUAGCUAAUACCGCAUAAGAGUAGAUGUUGCAUGACAUUUGCUUAAAAGGUGCAAUUGCAUCACUACCAGAUGGACCUGCGUUGUAUUAGCUAGUUGGUGGGGUAACGGCUUACCAAGGCGACGAUACAUAGCCGACCUGAGAGGGUGAUCGGCCACACUGGGAUUGAGACACGGCCCAGACUCCUACGGGAGGCAGCAGUAGGGAAUCUUCGGCAAUGGACGGAAGUCUGACCGAGCAACGCCGCGUGAGUGAAGAAGGUUUUCGGAUCGUAAAGCUCGGUUGUAAGAGAAGAACGAGUGUGAGAGUGGAAAGUUCACACUGUGACGGUAUCUUACCAGAAAGGGACGGCUAACUACGUG
Molecule: ribosomal RNA, 495 nt
Filed under: uncultured bacterium
Lineage: Bacteria
Description: partial 16S ribosomal RNA
Rfam family: Bacterial small subunit ribosomal RNA
Source: RNAcentral